Myxocyprinus asiaticus (Chinese sucker) is the source of this 762-nucleotide long non-coding RNA. RefSeq lists it as uncharacterized. The record is from RefSeq and is a predicted model, not a curated record. NCBI's taxonomy places the organism in Eukaryota, Metazoa, Chordata, Actinopteri, Cypriniformes, Catostomidae. The transcript has 2 exons.
UUUUAUACCCGUAUGUCCAGGGGAGUGGCAUACAAUUCUCAUUGGCCUUUUUUCAAAAAAGCAGAGGUGUUUGGGGCUCCCAAGAGUGACCCCUUGUGUCACUACAUCGUCAAGUGAGUGACAGAUAGGGAACCAAAAAUAAUCCACGAGACAAUGUGUUACUGAUUACAAUUUUAGUUAUGUAAAAAGUACCAGUUUACAAUUAACAGUUUACAGAAAAUAAUCUGCACUGUCAUCUACUAAUAAAAAUCUGGAAUAUUCAGACUAGUUGAAAAAGGACCAUCAGCACCAAGUGUGGAAACCAAACAUACUGGUUUUACUUGUUCACAAGUUUGCAGUUUCCCAUGUUUAAAUCAAACUGAAAUGUAUUGUUCAAAUAUAACUUCUCUGGCCCACAUAGCUCGCAAUCAUCCGAUCAUCUCUGGCUGAAAUGCUCUUGUAAUCGAGGUCAGGAAACAUCGACUGAACUUCACUUCAGUCUACUGAAGCCACUAAAAGACUCAAGUCACCAUAACAAUAUAAGGGUCCCUAGUUGGAACAUUUCCACCAACAUGUGGAGUUACAUCUUUUUUGUCAUCUGUUUAGAUGAAAUAAAAAGAAGAAGAAAGAAGCAAACACUGUGGUUGCAGCACUUACACAGGUCCAACAUCUAACUACAGCUUGGCAUCAUAAAUUUCUCAGUGACCAUUUAAUGAACACGAGUUAAUAUUAUGUUCAUUCAUGUUAAUGUCAACAUACAUUAAAUCACUUUUCAAAUCAAAA